AUGCAGGGUGUGAUGGUACUGACAAUCUCGACGGUUGCGCCGGGGCUGCGCCCGGCGACGUGCGGGGACGCGACGGGGCAGAGCCCCGACUGCGUUCCGGCGAACGGCACGCAGCUCGGGGUGCUGUACCUGGGGCUGUACAUGACGGCGCUGGGGACAGGCGGGCUCAAGUCGAGCGUGUCCGGGUUCGGGUCGGACCAGUUCGACGAGUCCGACGACGGCGAGCGCAAGAAGAUGAUGCGCUUCUUCAACUGGUUCUACUUCUUCGUCAGCAUCGGCGCGCUGCUCGCCGUCACCGUGCUGGUGUACGUGCAGGACAACAUCGGCCGCCGCUGGGGAUACGGCAUCUGCGCCGUCGGCAUCCUCUGCGGGCUCGGCGUGUUCCUGUGCGGCACCAAGAUGUACCGGUUCAAGAAGCUCGUCGGGAGCCCGCUGACACAGGUCGCCGCCGUGACGACCGCCGCGUGGAGCAAGCGCACCUUGCCGCUUCCGUCCGACCCGAGCAUGCUCUACGACGUCGACGAUGCGGCCGCCGCCGGUGAGGACCUCAAGGGCAAGCAGAAGCUGCCCCACAGCAAGGAAUGCCGAUUCCUAGACCAUGCGGCCAUCAUCGACCGGGCAGAGGCGGCGUCGCCGGCGGAGGCGAGCAAGUGGGCGCUGUGCACGCGGACGGACGUGGAGGAGGUGAAGCAGGUGGUGCGCAUGCUGCCGAUCUGGGCGACCACCAUCAUGUUCUGGACCAUCCACGCGCAGAUGACCACCUUCGCCGUCGAGCAGGCCUCCCUCAUGGACCGCGGCAUCGGCGGCUCGGGGUUCCUCAUCCCGGCGGGCUCCCUCACCGUCUUUCUCAUCGGCUCCAUCCUCCUCACCGUGCCCCUCUACGACCGCCUCAUCUCGCCCGUGGCCCGCCGCAUCACGGGCAAUCCGCACGGCCUCUCCCCGCUCCAGCGCGUCUUCGUCGGCCUCUUCCUGUCCAUCGUCGGCAUGGCCGCGGCGGCGAUCGUCGAGCGCCACCGCCUCACGUCGUCCACUCACGGGGUCACGCUCACGGUGUUCCUGCUCAUGCCGCAGUUUCUGCUCGUCGGCGCCGGCGAGGCGUUCACGUACAUGGGCCAGCUAGACUUCUUCCUGCGAGAGUGCCCCAAGGGGAUGAAGACCAUGAGCACGGGGCUAUUCCUCAGCACCUGCGCGCUCGGCUUCUUCUUCAGCACGGUCACAGUAACCAUCGUGCACAAGGUCACCGGCCACGGGCCACGGGGCAGCGGCGGCUGGCUCGCCGACAACCUCGACCAGGGGAGGCUCGACUACUUCUACUGGUUGCUCGCCGUCAUGAGCGCCAUCAAUAUCAUCUUUUUCACGAUGGCGGCAAGGGGCUACGUGUACAAGGAGAAGCGCUUGGCCGAUGCCGGCAUCGAGCUCGCCGACGAGGAGGCCAUGAUCGUCGGUCACUGA
RNAcentral lists this ribosomal RNA (1452 nucleotides) under Triticum aestivum (bread wheat). RNAcentral's name for it is "partial small subunit ribosomal RNA". Lineage: Eukaryota; Viridiplantae; Streptophyta; Magnoliopsida; Poales; Poaceae. The record is from RNAcentral.